UUCAAAUUCGGACAGGUCGGUGCGGGUCCCACGAUUCCCAUUUUGACUCCAAAAUUGACCCAUCUCCGUUUGUUGUGAUUUUGGUGUCUAAACGACCGUACUAACGUUGUGAUCCUAUAUUUGAUAGAGUGACAGCGUUCAAAGGUCAUUCGGGAAGGAAAAGCUCCGGUAAAGUGAUUUGGAGCGCACACGGUCAGCCUUAAGGUAGGCUACGGCUUCCU
Molecule: long non-coding RNA, 221 nt
Filed under: Solanum tuberosum (potato)
Lineage: Eukaryota; Viridiplantae; Streptophyta; Magnoliopsida; Solanales; Solanaceae
Description: long non-coding RNA (STUB_LNC001380)
Source: RNAcentral